AACAGAAUGCCUGAAUAAAAGGAUUAUUUUGAUAGAAUAAAUCAUGUAAAUAUUUUUUACUUCUGUUA
This 68-nucleotide transfer RNA is filed under the name Callicerus obscurus. RNAcentral describes it as "tRNA-Ile". Lineage: Eukaryota; Metazoa; Arthropoda; Insecta; Coleoptera; Staphylinidae. The record is from RNAcentral.